RNAcentral lists this non-coding RNA (246 nucleotides) under Gossypium arboreum. RNAcentral describes it as "Eukaryotic large subunit ribosomal RNA". It matches the Rfam family "Eukaryotic large subunit ribosomal RNA", at positions 3153 to 3401 of the family's 3401-position model. The record is from Rfam by way of RNAcentral. Lineage: Eukaryota; Viridiplantae; Streptophyta; Magnoliopsida; Malvales; Malvaceae.
AGCGACGCACGCGCCCGUCGCCCGAUUACCGACCCGCAGUAGGGGCCUUUGGCCCCCAAGGCACGUGUCGUAGGUGCAGCGUCCCCGACGGACAAGUCGCAGGCGCCUCCUUGGAGCGUAAUUCCCACCGAGCAGCGGGUAGAAUCCUUUACAGACGACUUAAAUACGCGACGGGUUAUUGUAAGUGGCAGAGUGGCCUUGCUGCCAUGAUCCACUGAGAUUCAGCCCUUUGUCGCUUCGAUUCGU